GAUGAACGCUGGCGGCGUGCCUAAUACAUGCAAGUCGAGCGAACAGAUAAGGAGCUUGCUCCUUUGACGUUAGCGGCGGACGGGUGAGUAACACGUGGGUAACCUACCUAUAAGACUGGGAUAACUUCGGGAAACCGGAGCUAAUACCGGAUAACAUUUGGAACCGCAUGGUUCUAAAGUGAAAGAUGGUUUUGCUAUCACUUAUAGAUGGACCCGCGCCGUAUUAGCUAGUUGGUAAGGUAACGGCUUACCAAGGCGACGAUACGUAGCCGACCUGAGAGGUGGCCACGCCAACCGGGAAAUGAGCAACGGACCAGCCCCCCAGGGGGGGCAGAAGGGGGAAAUCUUCCGAAAGGGGCGAAAGCUUGCCGGGGCAACCCCGGGGGGGUGAAGAAGGGUUGCGGCUUGUAAAACUUUGUUAUUAGGGAAAAACAAACGUGUAAGUAACGGUGCCCGUUUGGAAGGAACCAAAUCAAAAAGCCCCGGUAAAAUAGGG
This 496-nucleotide ribosomal RNA is filed under the name uncultured bacterium. Its description in RNAcentral is "partial 16S ribosomal RNA". It matches the Rfam family "Bacterial small subunit ribosomal RNA", at positions 28 to 506 of the family's 1533-position model. The record is from RNAcentral.